CCCCCCUCGAGAGUUUGAUCCUGGCUCAGGACGAACGCUGGCGGCGUGCUUAAUACAUGCAAGUCGAGCGGAGAUUGAAAAGCUUGCUUUUCAAAUCUUAGCGGCGGACGGGUGAGUAACACGUGGGCAACCUGCCCUUGAGACGGGGAUAACUCCGGGAAACCGGAGCUAAUACCGGAUAACACAUAUCUUCGCAUGAGGAUAUGUUAGAAGGUGGCUUUUAGCUACCACUCAAGGAUGGGCCCGCGGCGCAUUAGCUAGUUGGUGAGGUAACGGCUCACCAAGGGCGACGAUGCGUAGCCGACCUGAGAGGGGUGAUCGGCCACACUGGGACUGAGACACGGCCCAGACUCCUACGGGAGGCAGCAGUAGGGAAUCUUCCGCAAUGGACGAAAGUCUGACGGAGCAACGCCGCGUGAGUGAUGAAGGUUUUCGGAUCGUAAAGCGCUGUUGUUAGGGAAGAACAAGUACCUGUUAAAUAAGCAGGUACCUUGACGGUACCUAACCAGAAAGCCACGGCUAACUACGUGCCAGCAGCCGCGGUAAUACGUAGGUGGCAAGCGUUGUCCGGAAUUAUUGGGCGUAAAGCGCGCGCAGGCGGUUCCUUAAGUCUGAUGUGAAAGCCCACGGCUCAACCGUGGAGGGUCAUUGGAAACUGGGGAACUUGAGUGCAGAAGAGGAGAGCGGAAUUCCACGUGUAGCGGUGAAAUGCGUAGAGAUGUGGAGGAACACCAGUGGCGAAGGCGGCUCUCUGGUCUGUAACUGACGCUGAGGCGCGAAAGCGUGGGGAGCGAACAGGAUUAGAUACCCUGGUAGUCCACGCCGUAAACGAUGAGUGCUAAGUGUUAGAGGGUUUCCGCCCUUUAGUGCUGCAGCAAACGCAUAAGCACUCCGUCUCUGGAUGAUUGGAAAG
This 913-nucleotide ribosomal RNA is filed under the name Priestia filamentosa. RNAcentral describes it as "bacterial SSU rRNA". It matches the Rfam family "Bacterial small subunit ribosomal RNA", at positions 1 to 893 of the family's 1533-position model. Lineage: Bacteria; Bacillati; Bacillota; Bacilli; Caryophanales; Bacillaceae. The record is from RNAcentral.